RNAcentral lists this ribosomal RNA (288 nucleotides) under uncultured Synergistaceae bacterium. RNAcentral's name for it is "partial 16S ribosomal RNA". It matches the Rfam family "Bacterial small subunit ribosomal RNA", at positions 1098 to 1382 of the family's 1533-position model. The record is from RNAcentral. Lineage: Bacteria; Thermotogati; Synergistota; Synergistia; Synergistales; Synergistaceae.
GCAACCCCUGCAUUCAGUUGCCAUCGGGUAAUGCCGGGCACUCUGGAAGGACUGCCAUCGACGAAGAUGGAGGAAGGUGGGGAUGACGUCAAGUCAUCAUGGCCCUUAUGUCCAGGGCGACACACGUGCUACAAUGGCCGGCACAACGGGAAGCGAGUUCGCGAGGACAAGACGGAUCCCUUAAAGCCGGUCGCAGUUCGGAUUGAAGUCUGCAACUCGACUUCAUGAAGCUGGAAUCGCUAGUAAUCGUGGAUCAGCCAAGCCGCGGUGAAUACGUUCCCGGGCCUU